RNAcentral lists this ribosomal RNA (551 nucleotides) under uncultured Glomeromycotina. RNAcentral's name for it is "SSU rRNA". It matches the Rfam family "Eukaryotic small subunit ribosomal RNA", at positions 548 to 1098 of the family's 1831-position model. The record is from RNAcentral. Lineage: Eukaryota; Fungi; Glomeromycota.
UUGGAGGGCAAGUCUGGUGCCAGCAGCCGCGGUAAUUCCAGCUCCAAUAGCGUAUAUUAAAGUUGUUGCAGUUAAAAAGCUCGUAGUUGAACUUCGGGGUCUACCCAUUGGUCAGGCUUAAUUGUCUGCACUGGUGAGAUGGAUCUCUACCUUCUGAGGAACUUUCAUGCCAUUUAUUUGGUGUGAUGGGAAAUCAGGACUGUUACUUUGAAAAAAUUAGAGUGUUUAAAGCAGACUAUCGUCUGAAUACAUUAGCAUGGAAUAAUGAAAUAGGACGGACUGAUUCUAUUUCGUUGGUUUCUAGGAUCACCGUAAUGAUUAAUAGGGAUAGUUGGGGGCAUUAGUAUUCAAUUGUCAGAGGUGAAAUUCUUGGAUUUAUUGAAGACUAACUACUGCGAAAGCAUUUGCCAAGGAUGUUUUCAUUAAUCAAGAACGAAAGUUAGGGGAUCGAAGACGAUCAGAUACCGUCGUAGUCUUAACCAUAAACUAUGCCGACUAGGAAUCAGACGAUGUUAAUUUUUUAAUGACUCGUUCGGCGCCUUACGGGAAAC